Molecule: non-coding RNA, 25 nt
Filed under: Rattus norvegicus (Norway rat)
Lineage: Eukaryota; Metazoa; Chordata; Mammalia; Rodentia; Muridae
Source: RNAcentral
UCUUUAGACAGAAGUUUUAAGGAAU